AACGAACGCUGGCGGCGUGCCUAACACAUGCAAGUCGAGCGAGAACGGGGGGGCAACCCCCUAGUACAGCGGCGCACGGGUGAGUAACACGUAGGUACCUACCUCCGAGCUUGGGAUAACCUGCCGAAAGGUGGGCUAAUACCGGAUAUGACCACGGGAGUCUCGGCUCCUGCGGUGAAAGGUGGCCUCUGCUUGCAAGCUACCACUCAGAGAUGGGCCUGCGCGCCAUUAGCUAGUUGGCGGGGUAACGGCCCACCAAGGCUAUGAUGGCUAGCUGGUCUGAGAGGAUGAUCAGCCACACUGGGACUGAGACACGGCCAGACUCCUACGGAGGCAGCAGUGGGAAUUUUGGACAAUGGGGCAACCC
This 367-nucleotide ribosomal RNA is filed under the name uncultured bacterium. Its description in RNAcentral is "bacterial SSU rRNA". It matches the Rfam family "Bacterial small subunit ribosomal RNA", at positions 29 to 383 of the family's 1533-position model. The record is from RNAcentral.